Cinara cedri is the source of this 1635-nucleotide non-coding RNA. The record is from the annotation of a GenBank genome assembly. NCBI's taxonomy places the organism in Eukaryota, Metazoa, Arthropoda, Insecta, Hemiptera, Aphididae.
CGACUAAAUAAAUAAUAAUAAUACAGGAAUAACGCUGAUAUGGUAUUUACACAUGGUACAGUUCUUAAUUUUAUAAUAUUAUAUUAAUAUCUUUGUACAUUAUCAAAAACAAUAUAUUGUAUAACAAACAAACGAACAAAAUACUUCGAUAACUUUCUAAGAUAUGGGUACAACACCGAGUGAACAUUUAUUGUAUAACAAUUGACCGAUUUUCCAUAUUUUAUUAUACAAACGUUUGCCCAUAAUGCAUAAUAUUAUUACGUAUUAUUCGGGAGGAACGUAAAAAAAAAAAAAAAAAAAAACAAACAAAACGAAAAAUCGCGUUUUUUUUUUUAUUUUUUAAAAAUGCUGGCGAUAAUAAUGGGAAUAAUAAAGACCGCGCGGCGAAUAAUCGUUAUGGAAAAGUCACUACGAUUGAGCAAUAAUUUUAUCCUCUCGAAAAAUGUUACUGCGGGAAUCAAUAAUAAUUACAAUGUGCGUUUAAAAUGGUUUUCGGAACGUUUCGUGUUCUUAAUAUUAAUGUACAUUAAUGUGUCUGUGGCUCGGUAAAAGAGGUGUCGAUGUCAAAAGUAAUCUGAAAAAAAAAAUUAACCGAAAAAAAAAAUUAGUUUCUUCCGAAAAUUCCAACACUGAAAGUACUUGACUAUUGCGAUAGGUACAGUUAAAAAAAAAAAAUGCAAUUAUUUUUUUUUUUGACGACGGUCCGUUUUGCACCUAACCGCAGCUAGUAAUAUGAUUGCGAGUAAACAGUACAACAACAACAACAACAACAACAACAACAAAAAGGGAUAACUUUAAAUAUAAUAUCAAAAAUUAGGAAAAAGUUUGUCGUCCGACCGAUAAGUGUGAGUGACGGAACCGUAAUAAUUGACUUUUUCAAUUAGAUUAUAAAUAAUAAUUGUAUUAAACUACUCGAUAACAACUGAGAUAAUAUAAUUAUUGAACACCCGUUGGUAAGAAUAACGGUUAUAGACGGGACAGUUGCACAACGGCGUAUUCUAUAAUACACCGGACUGCGGUCCAAAAGAUUCUUAACAAACUUAACGUUUUCUCGCUGACUUACAGCGCUCCCGGCGGAAUAAUUAAUGAAAUUACACAUUACUGUCGCGGUCAUAAUAAUAAUGUACCACGGGUACAAUAUUGGUAUUGUCUAAAAAUUUUGUCGAAGUUUUAUCUAAACGGAGCCACAAGGCAGGGGGUUUUUCAUAUUUUUGAUAAAAACCGUCGGGGUCACUUCUUGGCGAUUGGUAGUGCAAACAUUCUGCCUAUAACCGCGGUGAGAACAACGUUCAAGAGAUUUUCAAUUCAAAGAAUGUGUUACCAGUAUUCUAUUCGUAUCGAGUAGUAUUGCAAAAUCGUUUAUAAUCUGAUUGUCGAGUCAACGGGGUUUGUCGCGUAUGAUAAUUAUGUCGGCUUCGACGGACAUACAAAAUGAAUACGGUAAAAUCGUGAGGUCUGUUUAUUACAAUAUGGUUCUACGGUCGUGUUUAUUAAAAACAAAUUUCAGUGGACGAUAUUUUAACGAAUUAUGACCGGCGGCGGGGUUUCAAUAUAAAUUAUACAAACAAAUACGAUUCGUGACGAGCGCAAUAAUAAUAUUAUAAUAUUUCGAUUCUGGACACGGGUUUUUCGAAC